AGAGUUUGAUCAUGGCUCGAGGAUGAACGCUGGCGGCGUGCCUAAUACAUGCAAGUUGUGCGGUAACAGAGAGAGCUUGCUCUCUGCUGACGAGCGGCGGACGGCAGAGUAACGCGUAGGAACAUACCCCAAACUGAGGGAUAACUGCUCGAAAGAGUAGCUAAUACCGCAUGUGGUCUUCGGAUUAAAGCUUCGGCGGUUUGGGAGUGGCCUGCGUCCGAUUAGCUAGUUGGUGAGGUAAUUGCUCACCAAGGCGACGAUCGGUAGCUGGUCUGAGAGGAUGAUCAGCCUGACUGGAACUGAGAACGGUCCAGACUCCUACGGGAGGCAGCAGUAGGGAAUUUUCCACAAUGGGCGAAAGCCUGAUGGAGCAACGCCGCGUGCAGGAUGAAUGCCUUCGGGUUGUAAACUGCUUUUCUGUGUGAAGAAUAUGACGGUAACACAGGAAUAAGGGUCGGCUAACUACGUG
Molecule: ribosomal RNA, 469 nt
Filed under: uncultured bacterium
Lineage: Bacteria
Description: bacterial SSU rRNA
Rfam family: Bacterial small subunit ribosomal RNA
Source: RNAcentral